RNAcentral lists this ribosomal RNA (500 nucleotides) under uncultured bacterium. RNAcentral's name for it is "partial 16S ribosomal RNA". It matches the Rfam family "Bacterial small subunit ribosomal RNA", at positions 29 to 523 of the family's 1533-position model. The record is from RNAcentral.
AUUGAACGCUGGCGGAAUGCUUUACACAUGCAAGUCGAACGGCAGCACGGGGGCAACCCUGGUGGCGAGUGGCGAACGGGUGAGUAAUACAUCGGAACGUGCCCAGUCGUGGGGGAUAACGCAGCGAAAGCUGUGCUAAUACCGCAUACGAUCUAUGGAUGAAAGCGGGGGACCGUAAGGCCUCGCGCGAUUGGAGCGGCCGCUGGAAGAUUAGGUAGUGGGCGGGGUAAAGGCUCACCAAGCCGACGAUCUGUAGCUGGUCUGAGAGGACGCCGCGCCACACUGGGACUGGGACACGGCCCAGGCUCCUACGGGAGGCAGCAGUGGGGAAUUUUGGACAAUGGGCGCAAGCCUGAUCCAGCCAUUCCGCGUGCAGGAUGAAGGCCCUCGGGUUGUAAACUGCUUUUGUACGGAACGAAAAGCCUUCUUCUAAUACAGGAGGGUCAUGACGGUACCGUAAGAAUAAGCACCGGCUAACUACGUGCCAGCCGCCGCAGUAA